RNAcentral lists this long non-coding RNA (3406 nucleotides) under Salmo salar (Atlantic salmon). Its description in RNAcentral is "lncRNA (ENSSSAG00000115066.1)". The record is from RNAcentral. Lineage: Eukaryota; Metazoa; Chordata; Actinopteri; Salmoniformes; Salmonidae.
GUGUGUAGUGUGGUGGUGGUGUGCGUAGUGGUGUGUGUGGUGGUGUGCGUAGUGGUGUGUGUAGUGGUGGUGUGUGUAGUGGUGGUGUGUGUAGUGGUGGUGGUGUGUAGUGGUGGUGGUGUGUAGUGGUGGUGGUGGUGGUGUGUGUAGUGGUGUGUAGUGGUGGUGGUGGUGUGUAGUGAUGGUGGUUUGUGUAGUGAUGGUGGUGGUGGUGUGUAGUGGUGGUGGUGGUGUGUAGUGGUGGUGGUGGUGGUGUGUGUAGUGAUGGUGGUGUGUGUAGUGAUGGAGGUGGUGGUGUGUGUGGUGGUGUGUAGUGAUGGUGGUGUGUAGUGGUGGUAGUGUGUAGUGGUGGUGGUGGUGGUGUGUAGUGAUGGGUGUAGUGGUGGUGGUGGUGGUGUGUAGUGGUGGUGGUGGUGUUUAGUGGUGGUGGUGGUGUGUAGUGGUGGUGGUUUGUGUAGUGAUGGUGGUGGUGGUGUGUAGUGGUGGUGGUGUGUAGUGGUGGUGGUUUGUGUAGUGAUGGUGGUGGUGGUGUGUAGUGGUGGUGGUGUGUAGUGAUGGUGGUGUGUGUAGUGAUGGAGGUGGUGGUGUGUGUAGUAGUGGUGGUGUGUAGUGGUGGUGGUGUGUAGUGGUGGUGGGGGUGUGUGUAGUGAUGGAGGUGGUGGUGUGUGUAGUGGUGGUGGUGUGUGUAGUGAUGGAGGUGGUGGUGUGUGUGGUGGUGUGUAGUGAUGGUGGUGUGUAGUGGUGGUGGUGGUGUGUGUAGUGGUGGUGGUGGUGUGUAGUGAUGGGUGUAGUGGUGGUGGUGGUGGUGUGUAGUGGUGGUGGUGGUGUGUAGUGAUGGUGGUUUGUGUCGUGAUGGUGGUGUGUAGUGGUGGUGGUGUGUAGUGGUGGUGAUGUGUAGUGAUGGUGGUGUGUGUAGUGAUGGAGGUGGUGGUUUGUGUAGUAGUGGUGGUGUGUAGUGAUGGUGGUGUGUAGUGGUGGUGGUUUGUAGUGGUGGUGGGGGUGUGUGUAGUGAUGGAGGUGGUGGUGUGUGUAGUGGUGGUGGUGUGUGUAGUGGUGGUGUGUGUAGUGAUGGAGGUGGUGGUGUGUGUAGUGGUUGGUGGUGUGUGUAGUGGUGGUGGUGUGCAGUGAUGGUGGUGGUGUGCAGUGAUGGUGGUGGUGUGUAGUGAUGGUGGUGGUGGUGGUGUGUAGUGAUGGUGGUGGGGCGGUGGUGUGUAGUGAUGGUGGUGUGUAGUAGUGGUGGUGGUGGUGUGUAGUGAUGGAGGUGGUGGUGUGUAGUGGUGGUGGUGUGCAUAGUGGUGUGUGUAGUGGUUGUGGUGUGUGUAGUGGUGGUGGUGUGCAGUGAUGGUGGUGGUGUGCAGUGAUGGUGGUGGUGUGUAGUGAUGGUGGUGGUGGUGGUGUGUAGUGAUGGUGGUGGGGCGGUGGUGUGUAGUGAUGGUGGUGUGUAGUAGUGGUGGUGGUGGUGUGUAAUGAUGGAGGUGUGUAGUGAUGGAGGUGGUGGUGUUAGUCAUGGAGGUGGUGGUGUGUAGUGGUGGUGGUGUGCGUAGUGGUGUGUGUAGUGGUGGUGGUGGUGUGUAGUGGUGGUGGUGGUGGUGUGUGUAGUGGUGUGUGUAGUGGUGGUGUGCGUAGUGGUGGUGUGUGUAGUGGUAGUGGUGGUGGUGGUGUGUAGUGGUGGUGGUGGUGUGUAGUGAUGGUGUGUAGUGAUGUGGUGGUGUGUAGUGGUGGUGUGUAGUGGUGGUGGUGUUGGUGGUGGUGGUGUGUAGUGAUGGUGGUGUGUGUAGUGAUGGUGGUGGUGGUGGUGUGUGUAGUAGUGGUGGUGUGUAGUGAUGGUGGUGUGUAGUGUGGUGGUGGUGUGUAGUGAUGGUGGUGGUGUGUAGUCAUGGUGGUGUUGGUGUGUGUAGUGAUGGUGUUGGUGGUGUGUAGUGGUGGUGUUGGUGUGUUGUGAUGGUGUGUAAUGGUGGUGGAGUGUGUAGUGGUGGUGGUGGUGGUGUGUAGUGGUGGUGGUUGUGUUUAGUGAUGGUGGUGUGUGAAGUGGUGGUGGUGGUGUGUCUAGUGAUGGAGGUGGUGGUGUGUGUAGUGAUGGAGGUGGUGGUGUGUAGUCAUGGUGGUGUUGGUGUGUAUUCAUGGUGGUGUUGGGGUGUAGUGGUGGUGGUGUGUGUAGUGGUGGUGGUGGUGGUGUGUAGUGGUGGUGGUGUGUGUGGUGGUGGUGGUGUGUGUAGUGAUGUUGGUGGUGUGUGUAGUGGUGGUGUGUGUAGUGAUGGUGGUGGUGUGUAGUGGUGGUGGUGGUGUGUAGUGAUGGUGGUGUGUCUAGUGAUGGUGGUGGUGGUGUGUAGUGAUGGUGGUGGUGUGUAGUGAUGGUGGUGGUGUGUGUAGUGGUGGUGGUUGUGUGUGUAGUGGUUGUGUGUGUAGUGAUGGUGGUGGUGUGUUGGUGGUGGUGUGUGUAGUGAUGGUGGUCGUGUGUAGUGGUGGUGGUGGUGGUUUGUAGUGAUGGUGGUGGUGUGUAGUGAUGGUGGUGGUAGUGUGUGUAGUGAUGGUGGUGGUAGUGUGUGUAGUGAUGGUGGUGUGUGUAGUGAUGGUGGUGUGUGUAGUGAUGGUGGUGUGUGUAGUGAUGGUGGUGGUGUGUGUAGUGAUGGUGGUGGUGUGUGUAGUGACGGUGGUGGUGUGUGUAGUGAUGGUGUUGGUGUGUAGUGAUGGUGGUGUGUGUAGUGAUGGUGGUGUGUGUGUAGUGAUGGUGGUGUGUGUGUAGUGAUGGUGGUGUGUGUGUAGUGAUGGUGGUGGUGUGUGUAGUGAUGGUGGUGGUGUGUGUAGUGAUGGUGGUGUGUCUAGUGAUGGUGUUUUUUGUGUAGUGAUGGUGAUGGUGUGUGUAGUGGUGGUGGUGUGUGUAGUGAUGGUGUUUUUUGUGUAGUGAUGGUGGUGGUGUGUAGUGAUGGUGGUGGUGUGUAGUGAUGGUGGUGGUGUGUAGUGAUGGUGGUGUGUGUAGUGAUGGUGGUGGUGUGUAGUGAUGGUGGUGGUGUGUAUUGAUGGUGGUGUGUGUAGUGAUGGUGGUGUGUGUAGUGAUGGUGGUGGAGCUGUUCUAUGAUUUGAAACAGGAGGAACAUGUCCCACCCCUGUCAGAGUUUAAUUGUGGAGAGACGGUGUCAGGGACUUCUGAUUGGAUGAUAUCAUUCUCGUUGGCGAUGAUGUGCUUCACCAGACAGUUGGCUGCUUCAUCUAUAUUCAUAUUCUCCUAGAGAGAGAGAAGGAGAGAGGAGAGAGAAGGAGAGAGAGAGAGCAGAAGAGAGAGAGAUAGAAAGAGAGAGAGAGAGAGCAGAAGAGAGAGAGAGCAGAAGAGAGAGAGAGAGAGAGAGAGAGAGAGAGAGAGAGAGCAGAAGAGAGAGAGAGAGCAGAAGAGAGAGAGAGAGAGAGCACA